UACGUAGGGGGCAAGCGUUGUCCGGAUUUAUUGGGCGUAAAGCGCUCGCAGGUGGUCCGAUGCGUCGUGCGUGAAAGACCCCGGCUCAACUGGGGAGUGUCGUGCGAUACGGUAGGACUGGAGGCCAGUAGGGGGAUGUGGAAUUCCGGGUGUAGUGGUGGAAUGCGUAGAGAUCCGGAGGAACACCGGCGGCGAAGGCGGCAUCCUGGACUGGUCCUGACACUCAGGAGCGAAAGCGUGGGGAGCGAUCCGG
This 253-nucleotide ribosomal RNA is filed under the name uncultured bacterium. RNAcentral's name for it is "partial 16S ribosomal RNA". It matches the Rfam family "Bacterial small subunit ribosomal RNA", at positions 524 to 776 of the family's 1533-position model. The record is from RNAcentral.